AGUGGCGGACGGGUGAGUAACGCGUGAGAAUCUGCCUUGGGGUCGGGGACAACCACUGGAAACGGUGGCUAAUACCGGAUAAGCCGAUUGGUGAAAGAUUUAUUGCCCGAAGAGGAGCUCGCGUCUGAUUAGCUAGUUGGUGAGGUAAGAGCUCACCAAGGCAGCGAUCAGUAGCUGAUCUGAGAGGACGAUCAGCCACACUGGGACUGAGACACGGCCCAGACUCCUACGGGAGGCAGCAGUGGGGAAUUUUCCGCAAUGGGCGAAAGCCUGACGGAGCAAGACCGCGUGAGGGAGGAAGGCUCUUGGGUUGUAAACCUCUUUUCUCAGGGAAGAAGCUCUGACGGUACCUGAGGAAUCAGCCUCGGCUAACUCCGUGCCAGCAGCCGCGGUAAUACGGAGGAGGCAAGCGUUAUCCGGAAUUAUUGGGCGUAAAGCGUCCGCAGGUGGCGAUUCAAGUCUGCUGUCAAAGCACGGGGCUUAACUCCGUAAAGGCAGUGGAAACUGAAUAGCUAGAGUGCCGUAGGGGUAGAGGGAAUUCCCGGUGUAGCGGUGAAAUGCGUAGAGAUCGGGAAGAACAUCGGUGGCGAAAGCGCUCUACUGGACGGCAACUGACACUCAGGGACGAAAGCUAGGGGAGCGAAUGGGAUUAGAUACCCC
Molecule: ribosomal RNA, 660 nt
Filed under: uncultured bacterium
Lineage: Bacteria
Description: bacterial SSU rRNA
Rfam family: Bacterial small subunit ribosomal RNA
Source: RNAcentral